RNAcentral lists this unclassified non-coding RNA (785 nucleotides) under Hevea brasiliensis (rubber tree). Lineage: Eukaryota; Viridiplantae; Streptophyta; Magnoliopsida; Malpighiales; Euphorbiaceae. The record is from RNAcentral.
UGUGUGUGUGUGUGUGUGUGAACAGUGUUGAAUUGGGAGGUCUGGGAUGAAAAGCAUGGUAAUUUUUCCUUUCCGGCUGAAAUAGCCAGAAUGCUUCUUGUCAGAAAGGGCAAGAGUGCAUAAUUAUCUCAUUCUCUCUUUCUGGGUAUUUUUGUUGAAACAUAACUUAAUGGGCAAUUUGUUUCCUUUAAUAUAUCAAAAAUGUUAAAAGCUAAAGAAGUCACUAAAGGAAAUACAACAUUCCUUGGUUAAACAAUGAAGUCUUUGAUUUCUCAAAACCAAAACGUUAACUAAGUGUGCGAUAAUGGGCAUUGUUGAUGUUUCUCUAUUUUUGUUUUCUUUUAGGAAAAGGCUUUUCUAAGCCCUUAAACUUUUGCUCAAAGUUCAAUUGAGCCCUUGUUAAAUUUUGUUUAACUCUCAAAAUUCAGCAAUCAGACCAAUAAGUGAUCGCAUGACUUCAUGUGUGUGACUGUUUGUUAAAUUUCAGAGUCUCAAGUGUUAAUGGGUCCCAUAAAAUAAAAUGAAUAUUAUUAAAAAAAUUUAUAAAUAUUUAAACAAAUGUAAUAAAAAAUUAAAACAAAUUAAAAAAAAUUCCAAAACUCAUCACACAAAAUUUGAAACCUGGAACUCAAAUUCAAAAUUUUCUCUUCUUCUCAUUUUCCUUCUUCUACUCUCUUCCUUACUCUCGCUUUCCCUUUAUUCCACUUCUUCCCUCUUCAUGCCUUUCCAUUAAAGAAUGAUGAUGAAUGCAAUUGACUCUUGUCUACUGUGUGUGUGUGUAAGAG